Long non-coding RNA from Bombus terrestris (buff-tailed bumblebee), 2160 nucleotides. RefSeq lists it as uncharacterized. NCBI's taxonomy places the organism in Eukaryota, Metazoa, Arthropoda, Insecta, Hymenoptera, Apidae. The record is from RefSeq and is a predicted model, not a curated record. The transcript has 2 exons.
UGGUCGUUCUUCACGUUUUUAAAACGUACUUAUAUUUUGCUGAUCUUAGUUUUCAUGAAGAAAGAAAGGAGUGAAAUAUACAAAUUGAACAAUAUCGAUUUAAUUAACUGCAAAUUUAAUUAUAAUCAAUGCAUACGUGUCACAUUUCUAAAAAUGAAAAUAGGUAGAAUAUUUAAUUAGAAAAAUAAAAUAUCAACUGGAAAGGAUAGAUUUCAUAAAAUGAAUAGUGGGUUAGUGAAAUGCAAGAGUAAAGAGGAGGAAGGAGAUAUCACGGGAAUUCAGCACACACGCGCGAGCAAACGUAGCAUCGGAUACGUCACAGCGGUAUUAUAAGUGGAAUGAUAAAAUGAGAUCAUCGUUACCGCUUCUCCGCGCACUCUGACGCAUACGCGUACACUGCGGACGCGACCUACACGACACAACGACAAUCAAACAUAGUGCACUGUGAAAAAAACACAAGGCACGUAUAUAUACGUGGGUAUAUCUACAUACAAUCUAUCUAUAGAUCUACAUAUCUACAUAUAUAUACAUAUAUAUUUACUGAUAGUGUUUACCGCCGGUUGGCCGAAAAACGAACGUGCACCGCGACACGAUUACAGCGUACGCUGCACGUUGCAUCACAAGAGCGUACACCGGUGAAGGUCACGCGCUCCAAAACUCACGACUACGGAGUACGAAAACAUCUAGGCUUGAUAUAGCUCGUCAGAGUCCGGUUCGAUAUCGGAAAGCUUAUCUGUACCUACCUAUUCAUAAUUUGAUUAAUAUAUUCUGUACCGCGUAAGUUAUCGACGACUGAUGACCCACGCUGAAACUUCCAUUUCAUCUCAAAUAUGAUAUUUUAACUAUAGCAAUUACAAAACGCAAUUUACACAUGGCUUGGAUGGCAAAUCACGUAAAAUUAACAGAUAUGGAAUGUGUUAAAACUAGUUAGAAGACAUUCGAAAGAGAUAAACAUGGACUGAAGAAAAAAUUUUGUGGCCGGGGCUUCGAUUCCAUCGGAUAAUCGCGAUAUUGAUAAAAAAAGUGCCGCGAACGAAAAAACAGAGAUGAAGAUAGGCGUAAUAAUAAAGGUCGAGUUCCGAGAUCCAACGACGGUAAGUACACGCGCGUUCGUUGCCAUGUGCCAAUGACAUGGUACACACGCACGAGACACACAGGCGCAACCACGAUGAAACUCGCCGGCGCUCGGUGCUCGCGAAGAAGAAAGGAAAAGAACACAGAUGCGUAGAUGUACGCGUAGUCUAGGCAGCAAAGCAGUACUCACCUCUUUCUCUUCGUUCAAUAUACUCGGCGGCCUGUAGUAGGGCAGCAAUGCUCAUAUUUCCCCGAUUUGGCGUAAUUUUGGCGACUUCGGUUCACUACCUCUUUCCCUGUAAUCCCGGCACACACACCGAUGAUCACCGCCGCGCGCGCGACACACAACGCAAUAACCGUUUAGAGACGCACACGACGAGCACCAGCCCCGUAUACACCGCGCGGCCGAUCUGUUGUUGUUGUUGAUGUUGAUGUUGGCUGGCGCUGGUGUUGUCGCUUCUCGAACUUUUCUCUCCGCCCGCCUGUUCAACCGCCGCUCCUUCUCCUCCCCCUCUUCCACGACCGCCACCUCUUCCUCCUUUUCUCGUCCGUCCGCGCGCCUCGCUGGCUGCGUUCGCUUAGGUGCACGUAACACACAAGCGCGCGCGCGUGACUACCGAGACUAGCCCGAUUUCAAACGCGCACUAGAUUCGCGGACGGCAAAUCGAUGGCCAGGCCUUUCCAACCGCGAUACGCAUCAAGAACUGUCUUUUUUUCCUCUCUCUACCACGGUAUAUAUUCCGUCGACUAUUUCGCGAUAUACGUUUCCCUUUGUAGCCUGUUUGCACCAACCGUUCGACGACUUUCAGUCUAUCUGGUCCGUGUCUGUCUAUCUUACUUCCAAUUCCACUUGCCUUUUUAUUUAAAAUGCUAGUUUCCUUUUCCCUUGUUCUAUACGUUUCUUUUCUCCCCCUUUUCUACUCAGUGGCGUUUCACUUUAACUCCGUACAGCUUGUAUAAUAUUCUCCUUUUCCUAUCUUUAUGUUUUCUGCCUGACUUCGUCGGUUCUCUUCUUCUUUCUUCACCUUCGUUUCACAACAUUCACUACGAUCACACCAAAUCACGUGAAAAUGACAAAAAAGAAAA